GUCAGCAAAAUCAUAACAAGAUAUUUAUUUAUAUUAUUGCCAAAAGCACCUGUGUGACACAAGUACUAGUUUAAAAAGAAACUAAAAUGAACAUAUGAACAACGCAAAACAAAAGGUCCAAGUAUCAUACCCAGUACAGCUCACUCUAGUGGCUAUGGUGCUGAAAGGCCCUGGAGCUGUCCCACUGUAAGAUGGCAAACUGUUUCAGUAAAGUUUGACAACUUACCUGGGUCCCACCGGGUGUCCAUGCCACAUCUGCUACAUGUGGUCGUCUCCAGCAGAUAACACCAGAUUGCUCAGUUAGACUCACAGCCUUGCUGCGGUCUUGCUUUGUUCAAAGCAGUGACAUUGUGCUCCUCUUGCUGGAGAAGACUAUAUGAGGCAGAUGCAGCGCAUGUUCUAUAACAGUGGGACGGAGCCAGGGGACUUCUGGCACCAUGAUCAAUGGAGAGGGUUGUAGUGGUUAUGGUGCUUGGAAUUUUCCUUUAAGGGAAUAAUAUAGCUAUUAAGCAAGCCAGGGGUAACCACAAUAGGAAGGAGCCGAUGCCCAACAAUGUUUCGACACUUUAUUGCUUCUAAAAAGGGACGAGUACACAAUAAAUUAAAGAUAGAAUAUGCUGGGAACAACCAUAAGGGAGUCACAUAGAAAGGGGUUCCACUAGCAAGAUAUUGAAGCCUCCUCUAUGUAAUAGAAAGUGAUGUAUAUAAAUAAUUAGAAUAUUAACAAUAAUUUAGUUAUUUAAAUAGCCCAAGAAAUUUCACGCUGAUUACGUAUUGCAGCGCGGUUUCCCCUCUAUGUAUUACUUUUUCAGUGCAUUUUCACCCCUAAUUAUUGGAAUGAAAGAAAAAUGAGCAGAUUUGGAAGAACGAGUUAAACCAAUAAAAAUCUCAGGGCUGGGGAGCCGGAGUAGGUAUUUUAGAUGCUUAAAAUGUUGACCUAAACACCAGUAUAUACAAUAAAUUGGUAGUAAUUAUAAUAUAAGUAUAUAUAAUAUAAAGUAUCUGAGUCAAUGGUAACAUAAAUUGAGGAGGUUUCUUGUACAGACUUUAGCCUCCUUUCAACUACACAUGAACAGCUUGUCUGGCUAACAGAAAUGUAAACCUUCCAGUGCUAAAACACAGAAAUGUAAAUAUCUACUCUCACAGCUUGGAAAUCAUCCAACUAUUCUGGCCACAUGAGUGUUUAAAACAUAUUUAGGGGCACUCAUGUGGCCAGAAUAGAUGGAUUUCCAAUGGAAAUUAAAGAUACUCUAAAAGGCCUGGUGACUGUAGGUACUCAUACCAGUAAGGGGCCUGGUAACUGUAGGUGGUCAUACCAGUAAUGGGCCUGGUGACUGUAGGAACUCAUACCAGUAAGAGGCCUGGUGACUAUAGGUGGUCAUACCAGUACAGGGCCUGGUGACUGUAGGAACUCAUACCAGUAAGAGGCCUGGUGACUAUAGGUGGUCAUACCAGUACAGGGCCUGGUGACUGUAGGUGGUCAUACCAGUAAGAGGCCUGGUGACUAUAGGUGGUCAUACCAGUACAGGGCCUGGUAACUGUAGGUGGUCAUACCAGUACAGGGCCUGGUGACUGUAGGAACUCAUACCAGUAAGAGGCCUGGUGACUGUAGGUGGUCAUACCAGUACAGGGCCUGGUGACUGUAGGUGGUCAUACCAGUACAGGGCCUGGUGACUGUAGGUGGUCAUACCAGUAAGGGGCCUGGUGACUGUAGGUGGUCAUACCAGUACAGGGCCUGGUGACUGUAGGUGGUCAUACCAGAACAGGGCCUGGUGACUGUAGGUGGUCAUACCAGUAAGGGGCCUGGUGACUGUAGGUGGUCAUACCAGUACAGGGCCUGGUGACUGUAGGAACUCAUACUAGUAAGAGGCCUGGUGACUGUAGGAACUCAUACCAGUAAGAGGCCUGGUGACUGUAGGUGGUCAUACCAGUAAUGGGCCUGGUGACUGUAGGAACUCAUACCAGUAAGGGGCCUGGUAACUGUAGGAACUCAUAUUAGUAAAGGGCCUGGUGACUGUAGGUGGCCAUACCAGUAAUGGGCCUGGAGACUGUACGUACUCAUACCAGUAAUGGGCCUGGUGACUGUACGUACUCAUACCAGUAAUGGGCCUGGUGACUGUACGUACUCAUACCAGUAAUGGGCCUGGUGACUGUACGUACUCAUACCAGUAAAGGGCCUGGUGAUUGUAGGUGGUCAUGCCAGUAAAGGGCCUGGUAAAUGUAGGUGGUCAUACCAGUAAAGGGCCUGGUGACUCUAGGAACUCAUGCCAGUAAUCAGCCUGGUGACUGUAGGUCCUCGUACCAGUAAAGGGCCUGGUGACGAUAGGUGAUCAUACCAGAAAAGGGCCUGGUGACUGUAGGUGGUCAUACCAGAAAAGGGCCAGGUGACUGUAGAUGUCCUUCACGUAGUCCAAGGUUCUGACAAUUUUUUUUCUGGUGGGGGAAAGUUUAUUCUAGUCAAGGCUAGGUCUUCACCUUGUCUACUGGUAUAUAUGUAUAUAUGGGGGAUUGUGAGGGAUUGUCGAACCUUAAUAAAAAGCCCAGAGGACAGUGCAUGUUCGUUGUCUUUGGGGACUCCUUCUGUCACUGUAUCUAUAUAGAGCACAAAAGUCAAAGGCCACCAAAAAUACUAGAAAAUGUUCAAACUCAAAUAACGAUGAUGCCACCCACCACACAUACAUGUUCCCCGAAAGUUUUUGAUUAGUUUUUAACAAUGAAUUUGAGCAUGAUUUUGUGUCUGAAUGAAGGAAUAAGAAGAAAAAAAAAAAAAACAAUUCGGCUACCAGAAAAAACAAAUAAACUGAGUACAUAUAUAUUUUUUUCUGUGCACAUAAAACGAAAACAAGGAAAA
RNAcentral lists this long non-coding RNA (2851 nucleotides) under Pelobates cultripes (western spadefoot toad). The record is from RNAcentral. Lineage: Eukaryota; Metazoa; Chordata; Amphibia; Anura; Pelobatidae.